Molecule: ribosomal RNA, 466 nt
Filed under: uncultured bacterium
Lineage: Bacteria
Description: partial 16S ribosomal RNA
Rfam family: Bacterial small subunit ribosomal RNA
Source: RNAcentral
GAUGAACGCUGGCGGCGUGCUUAACACAUGCAAGUCGAACGAUGAAGCCCAGCUUGCUGGGUGGAUUAGUGGCGAAAGGGUGAGUAACACGUGAGUAACCUGCCCUUAACUCUGGGAUAAGCCUGGGAAACUGGGUCUAAUACAGGAUAGGAGCGUCCACCGCAUGGUGGGUGUUGGAAAGAUUUAUCGGUUUUGGAUGGACUCGCGGCCUAUCAGCUUGUUGGUGGGGUAGUGGCUCACCAAGGCGCCGACGGGUAGCCGGCCUGAGAGGGUGACCGGCCACACUGGGACUGAGACACGGCCCAGACUCCUACGGGAGGCAGCAGUGGGGAAUAUUGCACAAUGGGCGCAAGCCUGAUGCAGCGACGCCGCGUGAGGGAUGACGGCCUUCGGGUUGUAAACCGCUUUCAGUAGGGAAGAAGCGAAAGUGACGGUACCUGCAGAAGAAGCACCGGCUAACUACGUG